GUCUAUGGCCACACCACCCAGAACAUAACUAAUCUUGUCUGAUCUUGGAAGCUAAGCAUGGUCAGGCCUGGUUAGUACCUGGAUGGGAGAACUACCUGUGUCUAGUGGCC
Molecule: ribosomal RNA, 110 nt
Organism: Panthera pardus (leopard)
Lineage: Eukaryota; Metazoa; Chordata; Mammalia; Carnivora; Felidae
Source: Ensembl